GACGAACGCUGGCGGCGUGCCUAAUUCAUGCAAGUAGAACGCUGAAGGAGGAGCUUGCUCUUCUGGAUGAGUUGCGAACGGGUGAGUAACGCGUAGGUAACCUGCCUGGUAGCGGGGGAUAACUAUUGGAAACGAUAGCUAAUACCGCAUAAGAGUAGAUGUUGCAUGACAUUUACUUAAAAGGUGCAAUUGCAUCACUACCAGAUGGACCUGCGUUGUAUUAGCUAGUUGGUGGGGUAACGGCUUACCAAGGCGACGAUACAUAGCCGACCUGAGAGGGGGAUCGGCCACACUGGGACUGAGACACGGCCCAGACUCCUACGGGAGGCAGCAGUAGGGAAUCUUCGGCAAUGGACGGAAGUCUGACCGAGCAACGCCGCGUGAGUGAAGAAGGUUUUCGGAUCGUAAAGCUCUGUUGUAAGAGAAGAACGAGUGUGAGAGUGGAAAGUUCACACUGUGACGGUAUCUUACCAGAAAGGGACGGCUAACUACGUG
This 495-nucleotide ribosomal RNA is filed under the name uncultured bacterium. RNAcentral describes it as "partial 16S ribosomal RNA". It matches the Rfam family "Bacterial small subunit ribosomal RNA", at positions 28 to 507 of the family's 1533-position model. The record is from RNAcentral.